GUUAAAUAAGAGUAAAUUAAGUUACUUGUCCCCAUUUGGCUUAAUCGACCACCUCUGCUCGCGGGUCGCCGGCACGAGCGGGAGCCCUGAAGUACCACGCUGGUAAACGGUAGCCCCUUCACCCAGCUCCUCGUCGCUAUCAGCAUGGCCACUUGGCUGAGGCUGACCCAGAUCAUCCUAGGUAUCCCACUGGGUCUCUGGGGACGUACCCUCAUCACUGCUUUGCUCAGGAGUCGCCUGGAACGAAGCCUCUGGGACACGAGUCUCGUGGGUCCAAGGCUCGUCGAUGUGAGGCUUGUCGACCUGAGGCUCGUGAACCGGAGACCGUGUAGCCUCCACUUCAGACGAAUCCACCCUAGAAGUCAUGUGCUCAAGUGAAUCAGCUUGGGGUGGUGGCGAGGAAGGCAUGGCAGCCACUGCCCAACCUCUCCGGUGGCCACGUGUACCUUUAGUACAACAUAAAUACCAACAUGAGUAAUAAAAUGUAUAUAAAUACCAACA
Molecule: long non-coding RNA, 501 nt
Filed under: Hordeum vulgare
Lineage: Eukaryota; Viridiplantae; Streptophyta; Magnoliopsida; Poales; Poaceae
Description: long non-coding RNA (HVUL_LNC004579)
Source: RNAcentral